Pteropus alecto (black flying fox) is the source of this 73-nucleotide non-coding RNA. The record is from Rfam. Lineage: Eukaryota; Metazoa; Chordata; Mammalia; Chiroptera; Pteropodidae.
GGUUUCAUAGUGUAGUAGUUAGAACGUCUGUUUUAUAUGCAGAAGGUCCUGGGUUCGUGCCCCAGUGGAGCCA